Molecule: transfer RNA, 71 nt
Filed under: Melichthys vidua (pinktail triggerfish)
Lineage: Eukaryota; Metazoa; Chordata; Actinopteri; Tetraodontiformes; Balistidae
Description: tRNA-Ser(UCN)
Rfam family: tRNA
About the family: Transfer RNA (tRNA) molecules are approximately 80 nucleotides in length. Their secondary structure includes four short double-helical elements and three loops (D, anti-codon, and T loops). Further hydrogen bonds mediate the characteristic L-shaped molecular structure. tRNAs have two regions of fundamental functional importance: the anti-codon, which is responsible for specific mRNA codon recognition, and the 3' end, to which the tRNAs corresponding amino acid is attached (by aminoacyl-tRNA synthetases). tRNAs cope with the degeneracy of the genetic code in two manners: having more than one tRNA (with a specific anti-codon) for a particular amino acid; and 'wobble' base-pairing, i.e. permitting non-standard base-pairing at the 3rd anti-codon position.
Source: RNAcentral
AAGAAAGUGGCAGAGUGGUAAUGUGCUUGGCUUGAAACCAAGUUACGGGGGUUCGAUUCCCUCCUUUCUCG